This 706-nucleotide ribosomal RNA is filed under the name Pseudobacillus badius. RNAcentral's name for it is "bacterial SSU rRNA". It matches the Rfam family "Bacterial small subunit ribosomal RNA", at positions 553 to 1258 of the family's 1533-position model. The record is from RNAcentral. Lineage: Bacteria; Bacillati; Bacillota; Bacilli; Caryophanales; Bacillaceae.
AUUGGGCGUAAGCGCGCGCAGGCGGCCUUUUAAGUCUGAUGUGAAAGCCCACGGCUCAACCGUGGAGGGUCAUUGGAAACUGGAAGGCUUGAGUGCAGAAGAGAAGAGCGGAAUUCCACGUGUAGCGGUGAAAUGCGUAGAGAUGUGGAGGAACACCAGUGGCGAAGGCGGCUCUUUGGUCUGUAACUGACGCUGAGGCGCGAAAGCGUGGGGAGCGAACAGGAUUAGAUACCCUGGUAGUCCACGCCGUAAACGAUGAGUGCUAAGUGUUGGGGGGUUUCCGCCCCUCAGUGCUGCAGCUAACGCAUUAAGCACUCCGCCUGGGGAGUACGGCCGCAAGGCUGAAACUCAAAGGAAUUGACGGGGGCCCGCACAAGCGGUGGAGCAUGUGGUUUAAUUCGAAGCAACGCGAAGAACCUUACCAGGUCUUGACAUCCCGCUGACCGGUCUGGAGACAGAUCUUCCCCUUCGGGGGCAGCGGUGACAGGUGGUGCAUGGUUGUCGUCAGCUCGUGUCGUGAGAUGUUGGGUUAAGUCCCGCAACGAGCGCAACCCUUGAUCUUAGUUGCCAGCAUUUAGUUGGGCACUCUAAGGUGACUGCCGGUGACAAACCGGAGGAAGGUGGGGAUGACGUCAAAUCAUCAUGCCCCUUAUGACCUGGGCUACACACGUGCUACAAUGGAUGGUACAAAGGGCUGCAAGACCGC